RNAcentral lists this ribosomal RNA (446 nucleotides) under uncultured bacterium. RNAcentral's name for it is "partial 16S ribosomal RNA". It matches the Rfam family "Bacterial small subunit ribosomal RNA", at positions 338 to 795 of the family's 1533-position model. The record is from RNAcentral.
CCUACGGGUGGCAGCAGUCGAGAAUCAUUCACAAUGGGGGAAACCCUGAUGGUGCGACGCCGCGUGGGGGAAUGAAGGUCUUCGGAUUGUAAACCCCUGUCAUGUGGGAGCAAAUUAAAAAGAUAGUACCACAAGAGGAAGAGACGGCUAACUCUGUGCCAGCAGCCGCGGUAAUACAGAGGUCUCAAGCGUUGUUCGGAAUCACUGGGCGUAAGGCGUGCGUAGGCUGUUUCGUAAGGCGUGUGUGAAAGGCGCGGGCUCAACCCGCGGACGGCACAUGAUACUGCGAGACUGGAGUAAUGGAGGGGGAACCGGAAUUCUCGGUGUAGCAGUGAAAUGCGUAGAUAUCGAGAGGAACACUCGUGGCGAAGGCGGGUUCCUGGACAUUAACUGACGCUGAGGCACGAAGGCCAGGGGAGCGAAAGGGAUUAGAUACCCCUGUAGUC